Molecule: ribosomal RNA, 550 nt
Filed under: uncultured bacterium
Lineage: Bacteria
Description: bacterial SSU rRNA
Rfam family: Bacterial small subunit ribosomal RNA
Source: RNAcentral
UAGGGAAUCUUCGGCAAUGGACGGAAGUCUGACCGAGCAACGCCGCGUGAGUGAAGAAGGUUUUCGGAUCGUAAAGCUCUGUUGUAAGAGAAGAACGAGUGUGAGAGUGGAAAGUUCACACUGUGACGGUAUCUUACCAGAAAGGGACGGCUAACUACGUGCCAGCAGCCGCGGUAAUACGUAGGUCCCGAGCGUUGUCCGGAUUUAUUGGGCGUAAAGCGAGCGCAGGCGGUUAGAUAAGUCUGAAGUUAAAGGCUGUGGCUUAACCAUAGUAGGCUUUGGAAACUGUUUAACUUGAGUGCAAGAGGGGAGAGUGGAAUUCCAUGUGUAGCGGUGAAAUGCGUAGAUAUAUGGAGGAACACCGGUGGCGAAAGCGGCUCUCUGGCUUGUAACUGACGCUGAGGCUCGAAAACGUGGGGAGCAAACAGGAUUAGAUACCCUGGUAGUCCACGCUGUAAACGAUGAGUGCUAGGUGUUAGACCCUUUCCGGGGUUUAGUGCCGUAGCUAACGCAUUAAGCACUCCGCCUGGGGAGUACGACCGCAAGGUUG